This 63-nucleotide transfer RNA is filed under the name Anoplocephala perfoliata. Its description in RNAcentral is "tRNA-Val". Lineage: Eukaryota; Metazoa; Platyhelminthes; Cestoda; Cyclophyllidea; Anoplocephalidae. The record is from RNAcentral.
UGUAAUGUAGUUUAUAAAAAAUGUUUAUUUUACACGUAAGAGAACUCAUUUGGAGCUUUACUG